RNAcentral lists this ribosomal RNA (254 nucleotides) under uncultured Singulisphaera sp. RNAcentral describes it as "partial 16S ribosomal RNA". It matches the Rfam family "Bacterial small subunit ribosomal RNA", at positions 524 to 776 of the family's 1533-position model. The record is from RNAcentral. Lineage: Bacteria; Pseudomonadati; Planctomycetota; Planctomycetia; Isosphaerales; Isosphaeraceae.
GACGAACCGUGCUAACGUUAUUCGGAAUUACUGGGCUUAAAGCGCGUGUAGGCGGGCCGGCACGUCGGUCGCUGAAAUCCCGCGGCUCAACCGCGGAAGUGGCGCCGAUACGACCGGCCUGGAGGGGCGUAGGGGGAGCUGGAACUCACGGUGGAGCGGUGAAAUGCGUUGAGAUCGUGAGGAACGCCCGCGGCGAAAGCGAGCUCCUGGACGCCUUCUGACGCUGAGACGCGAAAGCCAGGGGAGCGAACGGG